Non-coding RNA from Podarcis lilfordi (Lilford's wall lizard), 84 nucleotides. NCBI's taxonomy places the organism in Eukaryota, Metazoa, Chordata, Lepidosauria, Squamata, Lacertidae. The record is from the annotation of a GenBank genome assembly.
GAGGGGAGAGCUCAGUUGGUAGAGCAUGAGACUCUUAAUCUGAAGGUUGUGGGUUCAAGCCCCAUGAAAGAUUCCCAAAUUUCA